Long non-coding RNA from Bicyclus anynana (squinting bush brown), 4920 nucleotides. RefSeq lists it as uncharacterized. The record is from RefSeq and is a predicted model, not a curated record. The transcript is spliced from 10 exons. Lineage: Eukaryota; Metazoa; Arthropoda; Insecta; Lepidoptera; Nymphalidae.
CUUUAAUAACUGAAUAAAUACUUUUCUUCUACAAAAAUAUAGAGAGACACUCUCGUUGAAUAUUGUUUUAGUAACGUAUGGGUAAGAUUUUCUAAACGAAGUGUGGCAACCCCAAUUACUUAAUAAAAAAUAAAUAUGUUAUAAAAUGAAAAUGGCGUCAUUUCACAUUUUCACCAAAUAAAACACGAAUUCACGAAUAAUAAAAUAAAUGUUUGCCACGGCCUGUUAAUAUUUAUGAAGACCUCUUCAUGGAUUGGAUUUAAGCAACCUGCUGUGUAAUAUCCUCGCCAUUCUUGAUGUUGAGAAGAUCUAUAAGUCUUUUGCGUUUCAUCUGAGUGUUGUGGUUUUUCAUUAUGUUAAAAAUAAGACUUUGUUAGUUCAAGUGUCUCUAUAACUAUGAAGAAGAACAAAAGAAAAUGCUUUGAGUGUGGUUCUUCGCCUGCCGAUGAUCCAGAGAAGACCCUACAGAGAUUACAGAAAUUUGAUUCUACAAAUUUAGUCUCCGGUAGCUUAAUCUGGGGCAACAUAAGGUUAAUUAUGAAAUGGUAAUGAAAAUAAACAUCUGAGAAAAGCAAAUUCCAUGAACUAAUUUGAAAGUAUCUGUUACCAGUUCAAUAUUAAACCACAGGUAUAUGUACUAAAGGCAGUAAUGUCCAGAUAAUCAAUGAUUAGACUAUUGGACUUUUAGAAUAAAUUUUACAUUGAACUAUGAAUGGUUUGUCAUCUACAUUUUUAAAAAAGACGAGAUGUUUUGCCUGUAAGAACAAGAGAGAGAGAGAAUAAGAAGCAAUCCUGCUUCUUCACAUGAAUUUUACCCGCAUGACGACGGUUUUUAAUAUAAAAAAUAUUUACACAAUGUCUCAAAAAGCAAUCAAAGCUUUCAAAAAUAAACAAUGUUCGCAGAAGUUCAGUACCAACAAACUCACAAAAAAUGAGUUCAAAAUUUAGCAUUACUUGCAAGCCAGACUAAGAAAUUUCAAGAAGAUAAUUUAAAAGAAGACAAUAGAAUAAAAUAAUAUUAACACACAAUGCUUAGCAAAUAUAGCAUUAACAGAUGGAAACCAGGCAAUAGGUGUAGCAAAAUAGAAGAUGAAGGUCUAGCUGUGCCAGUCAGUGCUGAGCCACACAGUUGCUGCUGGCAUGUUUGCAAAAUAUCACAAGGUGUAGCAAAAUAGAAGAUGAAGGUCUAGCUGUGCCAGUCAGUGCUGAGCCACACAGUUGCUGCUGGCAUGUUUGCAAAAUAGCACAAGGUGUAGCAAAAUAGAAGAUGAAGGUCUAGCUGUGCCAGUCAGUGCUGAGCCACACAGUACAGUUGCUGCUGGCAUGUUUGCAAAAUAGCACAAGGUGUAGCAAAAUAGAAGAUGAAGGUCUAGCUGUGCCAGUCAGUGCUGAGCCACACAGUUGCUGCUGGCAUGUUUGCAAAAUAGCACAAGGUGCUGUAAAAUGAAGAUAUAUUGUUAAAUAUCAUGAGAUAGAAAUAAAAGAUGAAGAUCUAGCUGUACCCGUCCCGAGCCACACUACUGCAGCCACGUUGCUGCUGGCAUUUUUGCAAAAUAGCACAAGGUCACAACAAUUGAUGUAACAAUUAUAAUCAAUGGACCAGGCACCUGCACCAUGAUUCUUUGGAAUACUAAAAUUCGUCUCUUUAUGUCUGUACUUCUCAUAAUGAAAAAUGUCACAUUUUUAUGAAAGAAAUAAUGGAAUCAAAUAAUAAAUAAAACAAGCAUAUGCUGGAAGUCCUCAGAAACAGCUCCGACUUUGAUGAUUUUUUUUUUAAGUCUAUUUAAAAACAGAAAAUUUUAAUUAGUUUUUAUGUUAUUUAAAAUCAGAAAUGUUUUGGUGGACGAAAUUAUUUAAAUUGUUAAAAAAUAUCUAUGCUAUUUAUACAUAUUUUUUUUUAAAUACAACCGACUUCAAAAAUACAAACUUAUACAGAAAACUAAUAAACGAAAGAAAAUAUUAUAAUAUUUUCUAUCUAUUGAUCACUUUGAAGGCGGUGCCAAUGGUCCAAUUAAUGGGCCGACAAUUAGUUAUCUAAUGUUUUCCUAGCUAUAGGGUUCAAAUUGCUUUUUCAUAUCUUUAAAAGACUAUCUUCAGAAUGAACCCUUUAUAAUAAAAAAGUAUUAUCAAAAUCGGACCACUCAAUAAAAAGUUAUACUUGGUUGUAUACUAAAAUUAAUGGUUAAACAAUCAAUCAUCCCCUGUUUUUGUAAUGUAAAACCAAGCAUAACUGUUAACAUGAGUAGUCCGAUUUUGAUAAUUCUUUUGAUUGAUCAUUCUUGAUUGUUUUAGUUUAAAACCAAGCAUGUCUUCGAAUUCCGAUUUGAAUAACUUUGUUUUAAAUAGAAAGGGUAUAUUCCGACAAUGGUCCCAAAUCAUUAUAAAUUUUAAUUAUUCCCAUUAAUUGUAUUGUAAAAAUAUGCGUAACUUAUUACGAAGUGGUCCGAUUUCGUAAAUUCUUUAUAGAUUGUAAAGGUAUUUUGAUUGUAAAGCUCCUAUAUAAAUUUUAAAAAACAAUUCCAAUCCUAAAUGUGCGAUUGAUUGUUUUCUCAUUAAUUUUAAUAUAAAACCAAGCAUAACUUUUUAUUGGGUGGUUCGAUUUUGAUUAUUCUUUUUUUGAUAGAAAGGGUAUAUUCCUAAAAGUCUCAUAAAAUGUUGGAAAACAAUUUCAAACCUAAUAGUAGGAAAAUAGAAGAUGAUUAAUUGUUUUCCCAUUUAUUGUAAUGUAACUAUGCGUAACUUUUUACUGAGUGGACCGAUUUUGAAAAUUCUUUACUUUUUGUAAAGGGUUUAUUUCGAAGUAGGUCCCAUAUAAAUUUCGGAAAACAAUUCGAAUCCUUAAGGUGGAAAAAAACGGUACGAUUGAUUGCCUACCCAUUAAUUGUACAAUUGGCACCGGCUUCAGUAAUCAGUAGAUAGAAAAUAUUAUAAUGUUUUCUUCAGCUUAUUAGUUUACUGCAUAACUUUGUGUUUUUGAAGUCGGUAGUGUUUGUUUUUUUAAUAAUUUAUUAUAUAAAUAGCAUAACUAUUGUUAAAUAGUAUAAAUCGUUCCAUCAUCACUCCAAAAGGUUUCUGAUUUCAAAUGAUAUGAAGAAACAAACUGAACAAAAAUAAUCAUCAAAAUCAGAACUGUUUCUGAGGAGGUAGAGGGUAAAUGCUCUAUUGAUUCGCCUAAAAGUAAUAUUAUGUUAUCGCAUUAGGUUGUAAAGUUUGGCUAAUGAAAGUAGAGACUGAAAUUGCCCGCCAAAUUUAAAAAUCAUAUAAACAAAGUAAAAAAACAUGCGUUUUCAUAAUUUACUUAAAUUAGUUUUUAUUUGUGAAUACAUUAUUACCUAUACUAUAAGUGUUAAACUCAGUUAUUCCAAUAUUUGCACUAUAAUUUUGAGAAUUUACUCCGAUUUUUUAAAAUUUGGCGGGUGAUUUCAGUUUCUACUUUCAUUAGCCAAAUUCUAAUAAUUUUAUUGUUUAUGAAAUUUAUACUAAUUAGAAAGAGGAAGAAUUUAAUUAUUUGUUUGUUUGCAUUGAAUAGGCUCUGAAACUACUUUGCUGAUUUAAAAAAUUCUUACAGCAUUAUAAUCAUGGAUUAGGCCAUAAUUGUUAUCUCUGUAUUCCCACGGGAACGAGAACUACGCUGGUGAAACUGCGUGACGUUUGCAUAGUUUAUCAUAUGUACAAAUAUCCCGACAAUCUAUAUUUUUAUGUAUGAAUUGGUUAAGUUAUAAUUGACUUGAUUUUCCCAAAUAUAUCAGUGAAGUCACCCAAUUGAUGCAUAGAUAUAUUUUUAUUUUGGUUUUCAUUUUACUUUAAAGAUAAAAUUUAGUUUUAGAAGCAAAAUGAAUAUAUUUAGAUUACAUUUUAGGUGCUGAUGUUUACUUAGUUAUUGUUUAAGUGCAUAAGAUUUUUUAUUUGAUAAUAAAGACAUUUCAACUUGAAACUGUUAUUCUUUCUAUUGUUUAAUUUAUUAUAUACAAUUACUUGUUACUAAAAUAUUGUGCUAUUAUAUUGUUUUUAAUAUUUUCACAGUUCAGCUUUUGGGGACGGAGUGGUUUUAAAAUAAAUAUUUUUAAAAAUCUGUUUAAAUUAAUUAAUUAAUCGACAGAGUUUAUAAAUAUCUGUUUAAAUUAAUUAAUUAAUCGAAAUGGUUUUUAAAAAUAUUUAUUUUAAAGCUAUUCCGUCUACAAAAGCUGAACAGUGAAAAUUUAAAAACAAUAUAUUAGCUUUGAAUUUCCCGCGUUGGCAAAUUGUUUCAAUGGGGGCAUUCCACAGAUGGCGGUAAUUUUAGUGCCACUUUUUUUGUAUGAGGUUGGUAUUCUUCUCCUGAGUAAAUAUGUUCCUUGAUCAAAGAUGUCCUCGAAGGAAUACAUCUCAAUAAAUACUUAAACUAUUGUAAAUGUGAAAAAAAAACUAUUGUAAAUAUUUGGUCCUAAAUAAUAAUUAUAUACCUAUUUUAUUUUAUUGUCUGAGUGUAAACAUAAUUUUCUUUAUUUAGGUAAUAAUUCUUGCACGCCGUCUCUCAUUUGAUACAUAUUUUUUAAUGUUACUCAAUUUUGUCCCAACAAUAAAGUCAAAUUAUACGAAUUAACUUAUAAUAUUAUCUACGUAUGGAUGGCAAACCUACAUAACUAACAAAUUAUUUUUCAACAUAGAAAAGAAUGAAUAAAAUGUAUCAGCUGGAGGAGGCCUAUACCCAGUGAGGGAUUCUUAACAUAAUUAUUAAGUACUAUACUAACAUACGUAACAAUUAUAACCUUCUAACACUUAUUUAAGAACAAACAAUUGUAAAAAAAAAAAAUGUAUACGCAAUUUUGUUAAAUAUUAAUAAACUAACACACUAACACAAAUAGUAUAGGAUAAAUAAACUUAAAAUAACUAUGUAAUUUAUUGUUAAGAAGUAAUAAAGGCUUUGAUUGAUUGAUUGAU